Long non-coding RNA from Neopelma chrysocephalum (saffron-crested tyrant-manakin), 221 nucleotides. RefSeq lists it as uncharacterized. The transcript is spliced from 2 exons. NCBI's taxonomy places the organism in Eukaryota, Metazoa, Chordata, Aves, Passeriformes, Pipridae. The record is from RefSeq and is a predicted model, not a curated record.
CCAGGGGAGUGGUGUCACCUGGGAGUGUGUGUCCCCAGAGGAGCAGGUGUCCUGAGGGGAGCGUGUCCCCUGGGGAUUUGAGUGUCCCCAGGGGAGUGGUAUCACCUAAGAGUGUGUGUCUCCAGGGGAGUGGGUGUUCUGGGGGAACGAGUGUCCCUGGAUGAGUGAUUGUCCCUGUGGGGGAAGCAGGGCAUCGAGCACCAAUAAAGACAUCUUGGUGA